This 260-nucleotide ribosomal RNA is filed under the name uncultured Lactobacillus sp. RNAcentral describes it as "partial 16S ribosomal RNA". It matches the Rfam family "Bacterial small subunit ribosomal RNA", at positions 278 to 524 of the family's 1533-position model. Lineage: Bacteria; Bacillati; Bacillota; Bacilli; Lactobacillales; Lactobacillaceae. The record is from RNAcentral.
GAUGCAUAGCCGACGUUGUAGGAGACUGAUCGGCCACAUUGGGGACUGAGACACGGCCCAAAACUCCUACGGGAGGCAGCAGUAGGGAAUCUUCCACAAUGGACGCAAGUCUGAUGGAGCAACGCCGCGUGAGUGAAGAAGGUUUUCGGAUCGUAAAGCUCUGUUGUUGGUGAAGAAGGAUAGAGGUAGUAACUGGCCUUUAUUUGACGGUAAUCAACCAGAAAGUCACGGCUAACUACGUGCCAGCAGCCGCGGGUAAU